GGCAUACGGCUCAGUAACGCGUAGUCAACCUAACCUAUGGACGGGAAUAACCUCGGGAAACUGAGAAUAAUGCCCGAUAGAACAUUAUACCUGGAAUGGUUUAUGUUCCAAAUGAUUUAUCGCCAUAGGAUGGGACUGCGGCCUAUCAGUUUGUUGGUGAGGUAAUGGCCCACCAAGACUAUUACAGGUACGGGCUCUGAGAGGAGUAGCCCGGAGAUGGGUACUGAGACACGGACCCAGGCCCUAUGGGGCGCAGCAGGCGAGAAAACUUUGCAAUGUGCGAAAGCACGACAAGGUUAAUCCGAGUGAUUUCUGCUAAAGAAAUCUUUUGUUAGUCCUAGAAACACUAACGAAUAAGGGGUGGGCAAGUUCUGGUGUCAGCCGCCGCGGUAAAACCAGCACCUCAAGUGGUCAGGAUGAUUAUUGGGCCUAAAGCAUCCGUAGCCGGCUCUGUAAGUUUUCGGUUAAAUCUGUACGCUUAACGUACAGGCCGCCGGGAAUACUGCAAAGCUAGGGAGUGGGAGAAGUAGACGGUACUCGGUAGGAAGUGGUAAAAUGCUUUGAUCUAUCGAUGACCACCUGUGGCGAAGGCGGUCUACUAGAACACGUCCGACGGUGAGGGAUGAAAGCUGGGGGAGCAAACCGGAUUAGAUACCCGGGUAGUCCCAGCUGUAAACUAUGCAAACUCAGUGAUGCAUUGGCUUGUGGCCAAUGCAGUGCUGCAGGGAAGCCGUUAAGUUUGCCGCCUGGGAAGUACGUACGCAAGUAUGAAACUUAAAGGAAUUGGCGGGGGAGCACCACAAGGGGUGAAGCCUGCGGUUCAAUUGGAUUCAACGCCGG
This 840-nucleotide ribosomal RNA is filed under the name uncultured archaeon. Its description in RNAcentral is "bacterial SSU rRNA". It matches the Rfam family "Archaeal small subunit ribosomal RNA", at positions 80 to 921 of the family's 1478-position model. The record is from RNAcentral.